RNAcentral lists this unclassified non-coding RNA (314 nucleotides) under fungal sp. RNAcentral's name for it is "partial internal transcribed spacer region". The stretch from base 1 to 46 matches the Rfam family "Eukaryotic small subunit ribosomal RNA", at positions 1786 to 1831 of the family's 1831-position model. Lineage: Eukaryota; Fungi. The record is from RNAcentral.
AAGUCGUAACAAGGUCUCCGUUGGUGAACCAGCGGAGGGAUCAUUAGCGAGACUUAGUGCUCCACACCCCUGUGAACCGUACCUGUCAAAAUUUUAUCUUGCAGCGUUGUUUCGGCGGGUCCAGCCGGGUUUGGGCCGGGAGAAUUUUUAUGUUCCUCCGGCCCCGGCCCUGGCGGGUUUCGGCUGGCCUUCUAAGCCAACUGAAGCCGCCUGCCGACAGCGCCAAACACUUCUAUUAUUUUAGCUCUUUUGUCUGAGUGGCCUAUUGUUUAAAAAACAAGUUAAAACUUUCAACAACGGAUCUCUUGGUUCUG